GCAGAUGUGGUUCAAUGGUUAGAACAUGGCCUUGCCAAGGCUAGGAUGCGGGUUCGAUUCCCGUCAUUUGCUCCA
This 75-nucleotide transfer RNA is filed under the name Mycoplasma sp. CAG:611. Its description in RNAcentral is "transfer RNA-Gly(GCC)". It matches the Rfam family "tRNA". From Rfam's summary of the family: Transfer RNA (tRNA) molecules are approximately 80 nucleotides in length. Their secondary structure includes four short double-helical elements and three loops (D, anti-codon, and T loops). RNAcentral also lists the same sequence under 3 other names. The record is from RNAcentral. Lineage: Bacteria; Bacillati; Mycoplasmatota; Mollicutes; Mycoplasmatales; Mycoplasmataceae.